UCAGCAUACUACGGUGAAUACGUUCCCGGGCCUUGUACACACCGCCCGUCAAACCAUGAGAGUUGGCAACACCCGAAGUCGGUAGUCUAACCGCAAGGAGGACGCCGCCGAAGGUGGGGUUGAUGAUUAGGGUUAAGUCGUAACAAGGUACC
This 152-nucleotide ribosomal RNA is filed under the name uncultured bacterium. RNAcentral describes it as "partial 16S ribosomal RNA". It matches the Rfam family "Bacterial small subunit ribosomal RNA", at positions 1349 to 1500 of the family's 1533-position model. The record is from RNAcentral.